This 73-nucleotide transfer RNA is filed under the name Daphnia pulex (common water flea). It matches the Rfam family "tRNA". Rfam says of the family: Transfer RNA (tRNA) molecules are approximately 80 nucleotides in length. Their secondary structure includes four short double-helical elements and three loops (D, anti-codon, and T loops). Further hydrogen bonds mediate the characteristic L-shaped molecular structure. tRNAs have two regions of fundamental functional importance: the anti-codon, which is responsible for specific mRNA codon recognition, and the 3' end, to which the tRNAs corresponding amino acid is attached (by aminoacyl-tRNA synthetases). tRNAs cope with the degeneracy of the genetic code in two manners: having more than one tRNA (with a specific anti-codon) for a particular amino acid; and 'wobble' base-pairing, i.e. permitting non-standard base-pairing at the 3rd anti-codon position. Lineage: Eukaryota; Metazoa; Arthropoda; Branchiopoda; Diplostraca; Daphniidae. The record is from Rfam by way of RNAcentral.
GCCCGGUUAGCUCAGAUGGUACAGCGCGGGACUUUUAAUCCUGAGGUCGAGGGUUCAAGUCCCUCAUCGGGCG